This 4096-nucleotide ribosomal RNA is filed under the name Saccharomyces cerevisiae (brewer's yeast). The stretch from base 1047 to 4007 matches the Rfam family "Bacterial large subunit ribosomal RNA". The record is from RNAcentral. Lineage: Eukaryota; Fungi; Ascomycota; Saccharomycetes; Saccharomycetales; Saccharomycetaceae.
CCCGUAUACUUACGGGAGGGGGUCCCUCACUCCUUUUGAGACUUUAAUUUUAUAAAUAUAAAUAUAAAUAUAACAAGAUGUUAACUCUUUUAUAAAUAAAUAAUAAAUAUAAUUCUAUUUUUAAUAAUAAUAUAUAAUAUUUUUAUAAUAAAAUAUAUAAAUAAUAAUAUUUAUAUAUAUAUAUAUACUUUUUUUUUUAUAUAAGAAUAAUAUAUAUAGUCCACAUUGGAGGCGAGUGAAAGGAGAUAAGAAAUAUAAUAUAAUAUAAUAAUAAAAAUAUAAUGAAUAAUAAUAAUAAAAAUUUAUAUAAUAAAAAAAUAGUCCGGGCCGCCCCCCGCGGGGGGGGAGGCGGACCCCGAAGGAGUCGGAGUCCGACCGAAGGAGAUGAGAUUAUUAAUAUUAUUAAAUAAUAAAAUGUAUUAAUUAUAAAAUAUAAAACCUAUAAAUAAUUUAUAAUAUAAUUUAUAUUAUGAUAAUAAUAAUAUAUAUAUUAUAAUAUUUUAUAUAUAUAUUUAUUAUAUUUAUAUUUAUAUAAAAAAGUGAUAUUGAUUAAUUUAAUUAAUUUAUAAUUAAUAAUUAUUAAUAUAGUCCGGCCGAAGGAGUGAGGGACCCCUCCCUAUUCUAACGGGAGGGGGACCGAACCCCUUUUAUCUUUAAUUAAGAAGGAGUGAGGGACCCCUCCCUAUUCUAAUGGGAGGGGGACCGAACCCCGAAGGAGUUUAUUAUAUAUAUUAAAUAAGAUUUAUAAUAUAAUUAAUAUAUAUUUUAAUAAAUAUAAAAGAUUAUAUUAUAUUAUAAAAAGUAUAUUUUAUAUUUAUAUUUAUAUAUAUAUUUUAUUUAUUAUUAUUAUAUAUAUAAGUAGUAAAAAGUAGAAUAAUAGAUUUGAAAUAUUUAUUAUAUAGAUUUAAAGAGAUAAUCAUGGAGUAUAAUAAUUAAAUUUAAUAAAUUUAAUAUAACUAUUAAUAGAAUUAGGUUACUAAUAAAUUAAUAACAAUUAAUUUUAAAACCUAAAGGUAAACCUUUAUAUUAAUAAUGUUAUUUUUUAUUAUUUUUAUAAUAAGAAUAAUUAUUAAUAAUAAUAAACUAAGUGAACUGAAACAUCUAAGUAACUUAAGGAUAAGAAAUCAACAGAGAUAUUAUGAGUAUUGGUGAGAGAAAAUAAUAAAGGUCUAAUAAGUAUUAUGUGAAAAAAAUGUAAGAAAAUAGGAUAACAAAUUCUAAGACUAAAUACUAUUAAUAAGUAUAGUAAGUACCGUAAGGGAAAGUAUGAAAAUGAUUAUUUUAUAAGCAAUCAUGAAUAUAUUAUAUUAUAUUAAUGAUGUACCUUUUGUAUAAUGGGUCAGCAAGUAAUUAAUAUUAGUAAAACAAUAAGUUAUAAAUAAAUAGAAUAAUAUAUAUAUAUAAAAAAAUAUAUUAAAAUAUUUAAUUAAUAUUAAUUGACCCGAAAGCAAACGAUCUAACUAUGAUAAGAUGGAUAAACGAUCGAACAGGUUGAUGUUGCAAUAUCAUCUGAUUAAUUGUGGUUAGUAGUGAAAGACAAAUCUGGUUUGCAGAUAGCUGGUUUUCUAUGAAAUAUAUGUAAGUAUAGCCUUUAUAAAUAAUAAUUAUUAUAUAAUAUUAUAUUAAUAUUAUAUAAAGAAUGGUACAGCAAUUAAUAUAUAUUAGGGAACUAUUAAAGUUUUAUUAAUAAUAUUAAAUCUCGAAAUAUUUAAUUAUAUAUAAUAAAGAGUCAGAUUAUGUGCGAUAAGGUAAAUAAUCUAAAGGGAAACAGCCCAGAUUAAGAUAUAAAGUUCCUAAUAAAUAAUAAGUGAAAUAAAUAUUAAAAUAUUAUAAUAUAAUCAGUUAAUGGGUUUGACAAUAACCAUUUUUUAAUGAACAUGUAACAAUGCACUGAUUUAUAAUAAAUAAAAAAAAUAAUAUUUAAAAUCAAAUAUAUAUAUAUUUGUUAAUAGAUAAUAUACGGAUCUUAAUAAUAAGAAUUAUUUAAUUCCUAAUAUGGAAUAUUAUAUUUUUAUAAUAAAAAUAUAAAUACUGAAUAUCUAAAUAUUAUUAUUACUUUUUUUUUUAAUAAUAAUAAUAUGGUAAUAGAACAUUUAAUGAUAAUAUAUAUUAGUUAUUAAUUAAUAUAUGUAUUAAUUAAAUAGAGAAUGCUGACAUGAGUAACGAAAAAAAGGUAUAAACCUUUUCACCUAAAACAUAAGGUUUAACUAUAAAAGUACGGCCCCUAAUUAAAUUAAUAAGAAUAUAAAUAUAUUUAAGAUGGGAUAAUCUAUAUUAAUAAAAAUUUAUCUUAAAAUAUAUAUAUUAUUAAUAAUUAUAUUAAUUAAUUAAUAAUAUAUAUAAUUAUAUUAUAUAUUAUAUUUUUAUAUAUAAUAUAUAUAAUAUAAACUAAUAAAGAUCAGGAAAUAAUUAAUGUAUACCGUAAUGUAGACCGACUCAGGUAUGUAAGUAGAGAAUAUGAAGGUGAAUUAGAUAAUUAAAGGGAAGGAACUCGGCAAAGAUAGCUCAUAAGUUAGUCAAUAAAGAGUAAUAAGAACAAAGUUGUACAACUGUUUACUAAAAACACCGCACUUUGCAGAAACGAUAAGUUUAAGUAUAAGGUGUGAACUCUGCUCCAUGCUUAAUAUAUAAAUAAAAUUAUUUAACGAUAAUUUUAUUAAAUUUAGGUAAAUAGCAGCCUUAUUAUGAGGGUUAUAAUGUAGCGAAAUUCCUUGGCCUAUAAUUGAGGUCCCGCAUGAAUGACGUAAUGAUACAACAACUGUCUCCCCUUUAAGCUAAGUGAAAUUGAAAUCGUAGUGAAGAUGCUAUGUACCUUCAGCAAGACGGAAAGACCCUAUGCAGCUUUACUGUAAUUAGAUAGAUCGAAUUAUUGUUUAUUAUAUUCAGCAUAUUAAGUAAUCCUAUUAUUAGGUAAUCGUUUAGAUAUUAAUGAGAUACUUAUUAUAAUAUAAUGAUAAUUCUAAUCUUAUAAAUAAUUAUUAUUAUUAUUAUUAAUAAUAAUAAUAAUAUGCUUUCAAGCAUAGUGAUAAAACAUAUUUAUAUGAUAAUCACUUUACUUAAUAGAUAUAAUUCUUAAGUAAUAUAUAAUAUAUAUUAUAUAUAUAUUAUAUAUAAUAUAAGAGACAAUCUCUAAUUGGUAGUUUUGAUGGGGCGUCAUUAUCAGCAAAAGUAUCUGAAUAAGUCCAUAAAUAAAUAUAUAAAAUUAUUGAAUAAAAAAAUAAUAUAUAUUAUAUAUAUUAAUUAUAAAUUGAAAUAUGUUUAUAUAAAUUUAUAUUUAUUGAAUAUAUUUUAGUAAUAGAUAAAAAUAUGUACAGUAAAAUUGUAAGGAAAACAAUAAUAACUUUCUCCUCUCUCGGUGGGGGUUCACACCUAUUUUUAAUAGGUGUUCACCCCUCUUCGGGGUUCCGGUUCCCUUUCGGGUCCCGGAACUUAAAAAUAAUUAUGGAAAGAAUUAAAUUAAUAUAAUGGUAUAACUGUGCGAUAAUUGUAACACAAACGAGUGAAACAAGUACGUAAGUAUGGCAUAAUGAACAAAUAACACUGAUUGUAAAGGUUAUUGAUAACGAAUAAAAGUUACGCUAGGGAUAACAGGGUAAUAUAACGAAAGAGUAGAUAUUGUAAGUUAUGUUUGCCACCUCGAUGUCGACUCAACAUUUCCUCUUGGUUGUAAAAGCUAAGAAGGGUUUGACUGUUCGUCAAUUAAAAUGUUACGUGAGUUGGGUUAAAUACGAUGUGAAUCAGUAUGGUUCCUAUCUGCUGAAGGAAAUAUUAUCAAAUUAAAUCUCAUUAUUAGUACGCAAGGACCAUAAUGAAUCAACCCAUGGUGUAUCUAUUGAUAAUAAUAUAAUAUAUUUAAUAAAAAUAAUACUUUAUUAAUAUAUUAUCUAUAUUAGUUUAUAUUUUAAUUAUAUAUUAUCAUAGUAGAUAAGCUAAGUUGAUAAUAAAUAAAUAUUGAAUACAUAUUAAAUAUGAAGUUGUUUUAAUAAGAUAAUUAAUCUGAUAAUUUUAUACUAAAAUUAAUAAUUAUAGGUUUUAUAUAUUAUUUAUAAAUAAAUAUAUUAUAAUAAUAAUAAUUAUUAUUAUUAAUAAAAAAUAU